This 490-nucleotide ribosomal RNA is filed under the name uncultured bacterium. RNAcentral's name for it is "partial 16S ribosomal RNA". It matches the Rfam family "Bacterial small subunit ribosomal RNA", at positions 30 to 507 of the family's 1533-position model. The record is from RNAcentral.
AUUGAACGCUGGCGGCAGGCUUAAUACAUGCAAGUCGAGCGGUAGCACAGGGGAGCUUGCUCCCUGGGUGACGAGCGGCGGACGGGUGAGUAAUGUCUGGGAAACUGCCUGAUGGAGGGGGAUAACUACUGGAAACGGUAGCUAAUACCGCAUAACGUCGCAAGACCAAAGAGGGGGACCUUCGGGCCUCUUGCCAUCAGAUGUGCCCAGAUGGGAUUAGCUAGUAGGUGGGGUAAUGGCUCACCUAGGCGACGAUCCCUAGCUGGCCUGAGAGGAUGACCAGCCACACUGGAACUGAGACACGGUCCAGACUCCUACGGGAGGCAGCAGUGGGGAAUAUUGCACAAUGGGCGCAAGCCUGAUGCAGCCAUGCCGCGUGUGUGAAGAAGGCCUUCGGGUUGUAAAGCACUUUCAGCGAGGAGGAAGGUGGUGAGCUUAAUACGUUCAUCAAUUGACGUUACUCGCAGAAGAAGCACCGGCUAACUCCGUG